GGAUGUGUGCCCGAAUAUAAAGGACUACUUUGAUAGAGUAGAUUAUAGGGAUUAAACCUCCCUCGCCUCCC
Molecule: transfer RNA, 71 nt
Filed under: Nephrurus laevissimus
Lineage: Eukaryota; Metazoa; Chordata; Lepidosauria; Squamata; Carphodactylidae
Description: tRNA-Ile
Source: RNAcentral